Molecule: long non-coding RNA, 2961 nt
Filed under: Marmota monax (woodchuck)
Lineage: Eukaryota; Metazoa; Chordata; Mammalia; Rodentia; Sciuridae
Source: RNAcentral
AAACCAUGCCUUGCUUCCCUGGUGUGAUCUGUCACUCACAUGAGUUACAAGAUAUUCCUGUCUUUCCAGCAGGUGGAACUGGAUUUGGGACUUUUCAGAGAGAGGUACAAUGUGAAACAGCUCUUAUGGCCUGAUGAAACACUAAAAAGGAGAGCAACUAUUGUCAUCAAAACUUUGAACUCAUGGUGUAUCAGGGAGUUAUUUGUUUCCUUCAUCUAGAGGAAGGCUAAACAACGAGCAGUGAGUUUUUAUAAUGGUUACCUUAGACCUAAGGCUGAACCUCAGGUUGUUGUGGCAGUUGAUUAACAGAAAUGGAUAUCCAAAAUAUUAUGUUUCUGAUAAACUUUACUUCUUUUGUGAUAUGUUAUUAUUAGAUAAGAAAUUCUCUUUUUUUGAAGGUGAACCUUCAUUAUAAUUUUGACAGUAGUCUGUGCAUAUAUGUAUGUAUGUAUGUAUGUAGAUUUCUGAAGAUUUCAUCAAUUUUUUCUUGAAGAGAUUUCCAAGGGUAAUUUUCACAAUUUUGCUUGUCAAGCUACCUUGGAAUUUUGAGCCUCUACUUCAGUCACAUUAAUGAAGAUACUGAGAGGAUGUUGAUAUAAACCACUCCAUAAGGAAAGCCUUGCAGGCUGGUUUAGUGACUCUUCAUUCUGAACAAGGCACCUUUAUUUAUGUUGAGAAGUGUUUCUCAAAGAAGGUACCUGAAAACACCUUCUCCUGCUGCAGGAUCCCUUUGCAAGGAAUUCACUUUCUUUAAGCACCUAGAACAGGACUCCUUCAGCAGACAGCAGAUAGAUGUGCAUUGCAGUCCUUGGACUUUGUGACUAUCCCAAAACAGUACUGUCAGUUGGAUGAGUCUGUUCUGGGGUUCAUUUAGGAGGUCAACUGAUUAGCAAAUCUAAGUCAAUAUUACCUUUAUAAAAAUCAAGUCAAUAUAUUGCUUCUCUUUAUUCUUCAAACAUAUUGCUUAGUUGGUUUAAAGCUCAGAGUAGGAGCAUAUUUUAGCCCUUUAAAGAUCCUGUUACUAAAACCUUUGUCCUCCCUGAGGCUAAUCCAAUAGUGAGUCAAGGUUUGGAGAAAAUAAAGUUGUUUUAUUACUUUACUAGCAAAGGAGAAGCAUGGGGGCUCGUGCCCCAGAGACUGUGAUUCUCUCAGGGGAAACAGAGGGCUUUUAAGCUGAUGAUACAGUCUGUUUUCCAGCUGUGCCCUGUCAAGGGACAUAAUUCACUUGUAGCCUUUAGAGGUAGCCAUUUCUUAGAACUUCUGGCACUAGUCAUGAAUUCAUCCUGUGUUGCAUGAGUUUAAGGACAAAUAACUGGGCCUAGGACCGGAAGAAGGUUCAUCUUGCUUCCCUCAUGGUUAGGGAUAAGGAGAAAAGAAAGGAAGGAAAAAAAAACUGUGUCAGUUUUAAGAUAAGCCGCAGUGACAGAGCAGCAAGGAUUAUAUUCAGAGCAUGACGUGGACUCCUAUCACAAUCCAAAUAUUAGGAAGUAAAUCUAUAGGAAAAAACUGAGAAGCUAGUGAGACACAUAAAGGGGAGUAGAGCUUUGAUCCUAAUAUAAGACUUACCCCUUGAGGGCAAAGCAGACAAGUAUUCUGAAGGUCUGCCUAUUACCAAAAUUAUUGAAGGGAGAGGACCUGAGCAACACUAGUGUUUUCUUACAAACUUAUGAAUUAUGAUAUAUGGAUGUGCAAAGGCUUUUCAGAUGUCGGUGAUAGGCCUGUGCAUAGUGGUUGCCAUAGAAACCUGAUGGCAUUUUGGUGACCAUGACAACUUUUUAAUGGAGGCUGAUGUGAUUUGUUUUGAGAACAGGGACUCACUUCCAAGUGUUUGGUCCCAGUGAGGGUGUGGGUGCCCUGUCCAUGGUGGCUGAAAUUCCCUGGGGUGUUGGGAGAGGAAGAGAUCCCAGACUCUAAUCUUCUCAUUCCAACUUUGAGACUCAAUGCCCCCUAUCUCAAGAGGGAGGGUGAUGUGGGACCCUCCCGGUUCCAGCGAGUGUGGGGUCCUGCUCCAGGGUGUCCUGGACCUACUUUCCAUGUAAAGGCAUGCUGGAGGAUAAGACAGGGAACAGCGCUAGGUGACCCAGCUUCUCCUCCAUAAAAUGGGGGCAAGAAUAGUCAGCCACAGGAUUUCUAGGACCUGCAGGGUUAACACUUGCUCAAAUAAUAAUUAGUGAUACCUGUGUAUCUUUCUCUUGAAUGUUGAAACAUGCCAUUGGUUAGACAUUCUUCCUAGCAAUUUUAGAAUUUGGUAUGCAUUCUAAAAUGGUCACCAAUUUAUAUGUCUUAUAGUGAAAUUUAUUAAGAAGUUAGAAUUGGUCCUUGAAGGGUUAACUUGCCCAGAACAGCAAAAGAAAAAAAGCUACUUGUGUGUGAACUUCUGCAGAAGUUCCUCCCCUUACACACUGGGUAUAAAGUUCUGAAACUGCCUGAAUUGGGGUUCAGGGGGAUUAAUUUAUUACAGUGAGAGCUGUAGCCUCUGAACCUAGCUGCAGCUAAAUAAACUGUUUCCUGGGCUGGGGUGGUGGCUCAGCAGUAGAGCACUUGCCUAGCAUGUGCAAGGCGCUGGGUUUGAUCCUCCUCAGGACCACAUAAAAAUAAAUAAAUAAAUAAAAAUAUAUAAAAAUAAAUAAAUAAAGAUAUUGUGUCCAUCUACAACUAAAAAUAUUAUUAAAAAACAAGAACAAAAGUCAGAAUUAUAUCAAAUGUAAUUAAACAUGUAAAAAUGUCAGGAUAUGGUCUAUCUUAUGUGUAGAAGUUUUUAAAAAGUUGAUCUGAAUGUAGAAUAGUGAUCACUAGAGGGUUGGAAAGUGGGGAAACAGAUGGAUAAAAGGGAGGCUGGUAAUGAUCAUGUAUGCUGUAUGUAUGUAUGAAAUAUGGCAACCCUGUCAGCAUGUACAAUUAAUACAUGUUAAUAAAAUAAAAUAUUAAAAGAAUUCAAUAUUUUCAAAAAUAAUAAGUAUA